GAGCCAAUCAGAUUAAAGUAUUUUUGGCGCCGUCCUCGGAAACGGUCUGGGCGCGAAAUUCACUUCUCCACACAAAUCUGAGGUAAACCCGAGUCCGUGUUUAAUCUGAAGUGAGAAAAGAAAGCCACUGGAGCUGCGAGCAUCAUUUUGAGCACAGAAGAUGUCAACUAAAACUCAACAAAGCAUCCGGAUAUUCCUCAUUAGUGGAAAGUCCCCUAAAAAGUCCGGGUUGCAGGAUGCUUGUCCAGAGAAAGUGGCGAAAAGGGUAGGCCCAUUGUUGUGUUUGGGUGGGGGGUUGGAAAUGUCACUCUUGCCUGUCUUCAAAACUUGAGAGCCCUGCCUCAGAGAUGUUUAUAGUGUAAAAACAUCUGAAUUAAUUUAUUAUUAUGAAUGAUUAAAGAGAUAUGCAGUA
Tachysurus fulvidraco (yellow catfish) is the source of this 412-nucleotide long non-coding RNA. RefSeq lists it as uncharacterized. The record is from RefSeq and is a predicted model, not a curated record. Lineage: Eukaryota; Metazoa; Chordata; Actinopteri; Siluriformes; Bagridae. The transcript is spliced from 3 exons.